GAAGUACUUACCUCAGCAGGCUGCCCGCAUGAGAUCGAUAAGUGGGCGGCGGCGAAUUUCCACGCACCACGCCAUUCUGGCGAUCGCGGUCCAACAGCAAAAGUCUGCGGGAUAGAAAAGCGGAAAGGAUUCGGAUAUUUCACAGAUCACUUGAAGUCCCAGUUUUUAGGAUGGUCCUUAACUUUGUAACUGCUAUGAAACACUUUUUGAAGUCCCGGUCAUUUCCCGCUUGUUACGACUUUUGGGAAUUGCCCCGUUUUAGGCCCGGAAAAACACUGCUUUUGCCGAGGCUGCGGCGACGGAAAACGCGAACGAACUGACUGGUUGGGAAACUGGACAAAGGCUUUUCAAUGCAAACUUGGCUCGAAGAAAAAACCCAACACUCGCUCUCUCUUCGAUUUUUGGAAAACCCCUUGCUUCCCACCGGAAAAUGCGUGGAAAAUGUUUGUUUACAUUUGGCAGGACAACAUAAGGGGGCAAAGGAGGCAAUUGGAUGUUGCCUACUUUCGGGCAGUGAAAUAUGACUUCUGCAAUCGAAGCGAAGAUGCAAUUGCUUUUGGCCCAAAUGUGCCUGCAACAAGCUGCUCCGGAAGUGUUAGUAAUCCGGGCUGAAACCGAUUCUCGGCACUGUUCUUUAUUUUAGACUAUCAAGGCUUUAUCUCUAAUGAACUAUCUCGCUGGCUGCUGAUGGACGAACUUUUUUAAUUAUCAUUAAUGAACACGGAGGGCGCAAUCAUUGGCCAAGUUGCGCUCUGCAAUUAUUUUAAUGUUCAAUGAGGUUGCUGCAGCAGUCAUCGCCAAUGAUUUAUUGCCGCCCCUUAGCUUUUCCAAAGGCCAGAGUCCAUAGUCCGUUUUCCGUAGUCCGUAGUCCGGAGUCCAAAGUCCGUAGUCCAAAGUGUGUGAGAGUUGCCGACAUUGGCAAUUAGAAAGCUGGAAGGCGGGAGGGAAGGUCCAUGAAACAGCGUUUAUGUUUAAUGCGUUAUAAUGGCCGUUGUAAGUGUACAUAAGUUGAUAUAAAAGUUUUAUGGUCCGUUCGUGAGCAGCCUCCGGCAUCCGAUAUGGAAAAAGGAAAAUGGGGCGGGGUUGGGUUUGGGGGGCCGAGAAUAGUACGACCACAAUGU
Long non-coding RNA from Drosophila gunungcola (fruit fly), 1121 nucleotides. RefSeq lists it as uncharacterized. The record is from RefSeq and is a predicted model, not a curated record. The transcript has 3 exons. NCBI's taxonomy places the organism in Eukaryota, Metazoa, Arthropoda, Insecta, Diptera, Drosophilidae.